AACGAUGAUGUUGGUGUCGCACAUUAGACUGGUGUUUAAAUAGAGCUUUGCUCGUGAACCAAAUAUGGUGGGCUGGGUUGUCUUUGUGGAAACGCUUAGGCGACUUGUCUACGAAUUGUAAUCAUAAUAUGGGCGGCGGUGAAUCCUUUGUAGACGACUUGAAUGGGAACGGGGUACUGUAAGUGGUAGAGUAGCCUUGUUGCUACGAUCCACUGAGGUUAAGCCCUUGUUCUAAAGAUUUGUUC
RNAcentral lists this ribosomal RNA (245 nucleotides) under Armillaria borealis. RNAcentral describes it as "partial 26S ribosomal RNA". It matches the Rfam family "Eukaryotic large subunit ribosomal RNA", at positions 3153 to 3401 of the family's 3401-position model. Lineage: Eukaryota; Fungi; Basidiomycota; Agaricomycetes; Agaricales; Physalacriaceae. The record is from RNAcentral.